UAUAUACUAAAUCACAAGUCACUCAACUAAUCAUAUUUUGCCACAUAUUUAAUGUUUAAGUUUUUAAGAAAAUCAAUUAUUAAAAAGAAAAAAAUGAAACGAAUCAAUUUAUUUCUUUUCUACGUAAAAUAAAAAAAUAAUGGUUUCAACUGCCUUAACCACUGCAAGCACGAUCUCCACCUCCUCUAUUACAUCAACUAUAAAUGAACUCUCAAAUCACUUCGAUAACAAAUCUGUUUAUAAAAUUAUUCCAAACUGCUUAAUUUCUUCCACAAAGUAACCUUUACUUUUAUCUUUCAUAUAAUUCCUUUUCCUCAUAAAAGCGUUUUGAAGUUGCAGACACAAUCGAUAUCGUGGACAAAAUGAUUUUGAAAAGGAUGAAGCGAAUUGAUAGAUGGCUUUCAGAAAUUGGCAGGUGUACAUUGAUUGAAACCGCAGAAGAGUGAAAUGAUGGUGAAGAAGAAUCUUCAAACUUACAAUGAGAUUGUCUACUUAAUAAUUAAAGUCGACGAUGGUUAAAGAAGAAUGAAACAGAAGGAGACUCCAACAAACUAGAGACUCUCAACCAACACGUUGCUCAUAUUUUGAUUGCUAGGUCAGAUUUAUAACAUUGUAUUCGAAGGGGUAUAUAACAAAACCUUUUAUCAAUAAUUUUUCUUCUCUUUAAUAAUUAUGGCUGAAAAAUGUUUUUUGCUUGAAAAUUUAUUAAAUCUCGAAUUGGUACAA
Long non-coding RNA from Brassica napus (rape), 726 nucleotides. RefSeq lists it as uncharacterized. The record is from RefSeq and is a predicted model, not a curated record. NCBI's taxonomy places the organism in Eukaryota, Viridiplantae, Streptophyta, Magnoliopsida, Brassicales, Brassicaceae. The transcript is spliced from 2 exons.